GUGCUCGCUUUGGCAGCACAGAUACUAAAAUUGGAACGAUACAGAGAAAAUUAGCACAGCCCCUGCUCAAGGAUGGCACGCAAAUUCGUGAAGCAUUCCAUAUUUUU
Small nuclear RNA from Cercocebus atys (sooty mangabey), 107 nucleotides. NCBI's taxonomy places the organism in Eukaryota, Metazoa, Chordata, Mammalia, Primates, Cercopithecidae. The record is from Ensembl.